CUUAUGCGUUGUUGGGUAGGGGAGCGUUCUGUAAGCCUGUGAAGGUGGCCUGUGAGGGUUGCUGGAGGUAUCAGAAGUGCGAAUGCUGACAUAAGUAACGAUAAAGCGGGUGAAAAGCCCGCUCGCCGGAAGACCAAGGGUUCCUGUCCAACGUUAAUCGGGGCAGGGUGAGUCGACCCCUAAGGCGAGGCCGAAAGGCGUAGUCGAUGGGAAACGGGUUAAUAUUCCCGUACUUGGUGUUACUGCGAAGGGGGGACGGAGAAGGCUAUGUUGGCCGGGCGACGGUUGUCCCGGUUUAAGCGUGUAGGCUGGUUUUCCAGGCAAAUCCGGAAAAUCAAGGCUGAGGCGUGACGACGAGGCACUACGGUGCUGAAGCAACAAAUGCCCUGCUUCCAGGAAAAGCCUCUAAGCAUCAGGUAACAUCAAAUCGUACCCCAAACCGACACAGGUGGUCAGGUAGAGAAUACCAAGGCGCUUGAGAGAACUCGGGUGAAGGAACUAGGCAAAAUGGUGCCGUAACUUCGGGAGAAGGCACGCUGACACGUAGGUGAAGUGAUUUACUCAUGGAGCUGAAGUCAGUCGAAGAUACCAGCUGGCUGCAACUGUUUAUUAAAAACACAGCACUGUGCAAACACGAAAGUGGACGUAUACGGUGUGACGCCUGCCCGGUGCCGGAAGGUUAAUUGAUGGGGUCAGCGCAAGCGAAGCUCCUGAUCGAAGCCCCGGUAAACGGCGGCCGUAACUAUAACGGUCCUAAGGUAGCGAAAUUCCUUGUCGGGUAAGUUCCGACCUGCACGAAUGGCGUAAUGAUGGCCAGGCUGUCUCCACCCGAGACUCAGUGAAAUUGAACUCGCUGUGAAGAUGCAGUGUACCCGCGGCAAGACGGAAAGACCCCGUGAACCUUUACUAUAGCUUGACACUGAACAUUGAGCCUUGAUGUGUAGGAUAGGUGGGAGGCUUUGAAGUGUGGACGCCAGUCUGC
This 982-nucleotide ribosomal RNA is filed under the name Salmonella enterica subsp. enterica serovar Uganda. RNAcentral describes it as "partial 23S ribosomal RNA". It matches the Rfam family "Bacterial large subunit ribosomal RNA", at positions 1213 to 2179 of the family's 2925-position model. The record is from RNAcentral. Lineage: Bacteria; Pseudomonadati; Pseudomonadota; Gammaproteobacteria; Enterobacterales; Enterobacteriaceae.